Non-coding RNA from Pelobates cultripes (western spadefoot toad), 566 nucleotides. The record is from the annotation of a GenBank genome assembly. NCBI's taxonomy places the organism in Eukaryota, Metazoa, Chordata, Amphibia, Anura, Pelobatidae.
CCUAUUGGUGACUGGGUAGGCCUCUGGCCAUCUUGAGAACAUAUCCACUAUAACUAGUGCAUAUUCAAACCGGCCACUCUUUGGCAUUUGGAUGUGGUCAACUUGGAUUCUUUGGAAAGGGGUAGUGAGGUUUAGGUUUGGCCAGAUGCUUCGGGUGGGGGCUUUCUCCAUCCUGCCUGGGUUGCAUUUGGCACAGAUGAUGCAGGAUCUGCAGUAACUGUUGGUCAGAGAGGUAAUUCUAGGUGCUUCAUAGUAUUUGUUGUCCAAGAACCCCAUGAACUCUUUUGAUCAAGUGUUGUGCUCCAUGGGCCCAGUGGACCAUUGGUGAGUACAUGUGUAAUGGAUCGCCUGGCACCCCGACUGGGUACCUCAGUUGAAAGAUGCUCCUAGCGCUUCCUGAGGACUCCAAGCACUGCAGCUGACACCACAAUCACCGAACCAGAGAAGCGUAUACCUUCUCUCAAGCAUAUGAAUGCUGUAGACCGUUGAAUAGGAACCAUACGAAUAGGUUUACUCUCCUAGCAGUCAAACUGGAACAGCAUACAAGAAAUCCUUCCCUCAAUAAU